UACGUAGGGGCCUAGCGUUGUCCGGAUUUAUUGGGCGUAAAGAGCUCGUAGGCGGUUCGGUAAGUCAGCUGUGAAAUCUCCACGCUUAACGUGGAGGGGUCAGCUGAUACUGCCGUGACUUGAGUCCGGUAGGGGAGUGCGGAAUUCCCGGUGUAGCGGUGAAAUGCGCAGAUAUCGGGAGGAACACCAGUGGCGAAGGCGGCACUCUGGGCCGGAACUGACGCUGAGGAGCGAAAGCGUGGGGAGCGAACAGG
This 254-nucleotide ribosomal RNA is filed under the name uncultured bacterium. RNAcentral describes it as "partial 16S ribosomal RNA". It matches the Rfam family "Bacterial small subunit ribosomal RNA", at positions 524 to 776 of the family's 1533-position model. The record is from RNAcentral.